This 253-nucleotide ribosomal RNA is filed under the name uncultured bacterium. RNAcentral's name for it is "partial 16S ribosomal RNA". It matches the Rfam family "Bacterial small subunit ribosomal RNA", at positions 524 to 776 of the family's 1533-position model. The record is from RNAcentral.
UACAGAGGGUGCAAGCGUUAAUCGGAAUUACUGGGCGUAAAGCGCGUGUAGGUGGUUUGCUAAGUCAGGUGUGAAAUCCUCGGGCUCAACCCGAGAACUGCAUUUGAUACUGGCAAGCUAGAGUGUGGUAGAGGAUAGUGGAAUUCCCGGUGUAGCGGUGAAAUGCGUAGAUAUCGGGAGGAACAUCAGUGGCGAAGGCGGCUAUCUGGACUAACACUGACACUGAGACUCGAAAGCGUGGGGAGCAAACAGG